RNAcentral lists this small RNA (29 nucleotides) under Bombyx mori (domestic silkworm). RNAcentral describes it as "ovarian small RNA-27562". Lineage: Eukaryota; Metazoa; Arthropoda; Insecta; Lepidoptera; Bombycidae. The record is from RNAcentral.
UCCGGGUUCCGAUAUAUGUAGGCCGAAGC